UACGUAGGGGGCAAGCGUUGUCCGGAAUCAUUGGGCGUAAAGCGCGCGUAGGCGGCCCGGUAAGUCCGCUGUGAAAGUCAAAGGCUCAACCUUUGAAUGUCAGCGGAUACUGCCAGGCUAGAGUCCGGAAGAGGCGAGUGGAACUCCUGGUGUAGCGGUGGAAUGCGCAGAUAUCAGGAAGAACACCAACGGCGAAGGCAGCCCGCUGGGACGGAACUGACGCUGAGGCGCGAAAGCGUGGGGAGCGAACAGG
Molecule: ribosomal RNA, 253 nt
Filed under: uncultured bacterium
Lineage: Bacteria
Description: partial 16S ribosomal RNA
Rfam family: Bacterial small subunit ribosomal RNA
Source: RNAcentral